GCCCAGACUACCUAGUUGCCAUCAAAUCUAAAUAACCAAUGCCUUGCAUAAAAUUUAUGUGGUUGUUCAUCAUGUUUCGUGUUCACAUUAUUCCUUGAAGAUUUGAGAACACAAUCCAUUGGUGAAAUCAUUUAAUUCAUUUUUGAAUUCAUGCAACCACGUUGGAGAUAAAACAUCAAAUUCAUUGAAUCUAAAACACCUACUUCCUAAACAUUAUUAGGAAUGUACUUUCUCAAUUGAACUUUAGAGGCUACUGAAAAUUGAGAGAGGUUGGAUUACAAGCGCAGGAAGAGUACAAGAAUUGGUCAUUCUUGGUGAUCCACUUGGAAGAGACAAUUGUUGGAGAUCGAGAGUUGGUGGUUUCAGCAGGAUCUUGGAGAUUACAGGAAGUAAAUCGAGAAGUCUAGUGAGUUGGCUAGGUAGCAUCCAACUAUAAAUCCUUAUUGUCUAUAGUGAAGGUAACUAAAUUGGUCCCUAAGUUUUUAAUUCGGCAAGAGGUUUUCUCUGUCAACAUAUCUGGUGCUAUUUAUUGUUUUCUUAUUACAAGCCGCGGCAAUUCAAUUUAGGAUAAUUGGAUUGUUUGAUUCACCAUUUAGAAACAAUUAAAAAAUGACUUGUUAUUUUUAAUUAUGUUAAUUCCGCACGAAAGGUUAAACUUAAUCUGUAAUCUAUAUCUCUUUCACUCAACUUUCCUUUCAACCUCCACAAUCUCUUCUUCCUCCUUCAAUCUAUCAGCCAAGUUCUCUUCCUUCUCCCUUUGUCUCCUUUUCCUCUCAUCACCAGUCUUAUAUUUUCUCUUUUUUCCAUAACCAUCAUCAUUAUAAUGCUCUUGGUCUCCAAUUUCCCAC
This 848-nucleotide long non-coding RNA is filed under the name Olea europaea subsp. europaea. Lineage: Eukaryota; Viridiplantae; Streptophyta; Magnoliopsida; Lamiales; Oleaceae. The record is from RNAcentral.